This 376-nucleotide unclassified non-coding RNA is filed under the name soil metagenome. RNAcentral's name for it is "partial contains 5.8S ribosomal RNA, internal transcribed spacer 2, and large subunit ribosomal RNA". The stretch from base 1 to 120 matches the Rfam family "5.8S ribosomal RNA", at positions 35 to 154 of the family's 154-position model. The record is from RNAcentral.
GAUGAAGAACGCAGCGAAAUGCGAUAAGUAAUGUGAAUUGCAGAAUUCAGUGAAUCAUCGAAUCUUUGAACGCAUCUUGCGCUCCUUGGUAUUCUGAGGAGCAUGCCUGUUUGAGUGUCAUUAAAUUCUCAACUACACUGACUUUGAAUUGGUGUGGCUUGGAUUUGGGGGGAAAAUUGUCGUGGGCUUUUUGUAUAGUCUGCUCCCCUGAAAUUGAUUAGCGGUACCUUUGUGGAACUGUCUACAGGUGUGAUAAUUAUCUACAUCUUAGACAUCUGCUGGAAUGCUGCUUUCUAAACCUUACUUGUAUUGACAAUCUUGACCUCAAAUCAGGUAGGACUACCCGCUGAACUUAAGCAUAUCAAUAAGCGGAGGA